UGAGGGGGUGGCAUGUCCUAGCGGAUGGGGGGAGCUUGCUCCUUGAUUCAUUUCUGGCGGACGGGUGAGUAAUGCCUAGGAAUCUGCCUGGUAGUGGGGGACAACGUUUCGAAAGGAACGCUAAUACCGCAUACGUCCUACGGGAGAAAGCAGGGGACCUUCGGGCCUUGCGCUAUCAGAUGAGCCUAGGUCGGAUUAGCUAGUUGGUGAGGUAAUGGCUCACCAAGGCGACGAUCCGUAACUGGUCUGAGAGGAUGAUCAGUCACACUGGAACUGAGACACGGUCCAGACUCCUACGGGAGGCAGCAGUGGGGAAUAUUGGACAAUGGGCGAAAGCCUGAUCCAGCCAUGCCGCGUGUGUGAAGAAGGUCUUCGGAUUGUAAAGCACUUUAAGUUGGGAGGAAGGGCAGUAAGUUAAUACCUUGCUGUUUUGACGUUACCGACAGAAUAAGCACCGGCUAACUCUGUGCCAGCAGCCGCGGUAUACAAGGGUGCAAGCGUUAAUCGGAAUUCUUGGGCGUAAGCGGGUAGGUGGUUCGUUAAUUGGAUGGAAAACCCCGGGGUCAACUGGAACCUCAUCCAAAAUGGGACUAAAAACGGGAAAAGGGGGGGGAAAUUCCCG
RNAcentral lists this ribosomal RNA (622 nucleotides) under Pseudomonas sp. HPC1264. Its description in RNAcentral is "bacterial SSU rRNA". It matches the Rfam family "Bacterial small subunit ribosomal RNA", at positions 41 to 672 of the family's 1533-position model. Lineage: Bacteria; Pseudomonadati; Pseudomonadota; Gammaproteobacteria; Pseudomonadales; Pseudomonadaceae. The record is from RNAcentral.